AGUUUGAUUAUGGCUCAGAUUGAACGCUGGCGGGAUGCUUUACAUGCAAGUCGAACGGCAGCACGGACUUCGGUCACGGUGGCGGUGGCGAACGGGUGAGUAAUGUAUCGGAACGUGCCUAGCUGGCGGGGGAUAACUACGCGUGGCUAAUACCGCAUACUUCCCUUCGGGGGAAAGCGGGGGACCUUCGGGCCUCGCACUAUUAGAGCAGCCGAUAUCGGGAUUAGCUAGUUGGUGGGGUAACGGCUCACCAAGGCGACGAUCCGUAGCUGGGUUUGAAGGACAGCCAGCCACACUGGGACUGAACCUGACCCCGACUCUACAGGGAGGCAGCAGUGGGGAAUUUUGGACAAUUGGGAAACCCUGGUCAGCCAUCCCGCAUUAUUGCGAUGAAGGCCUUCGGGUUGUAAAGCACUUUUGGCAGGAAAGAAACGGCACGGGAUAAUACCCCGUGCAACUGACCGGUACCUGCAGAAUAAGCACACCGGCUAACUACGUGCCAACAGCCGCGGUAAUACGUAGGGUGCAAGCGUUAAUCGGAAUUACUGGGCGUAAAGCGUGCGCGAGCGGUUCCGGAAAAGAAAGAUGUGAAAUCCCAGAGCUUAACUUUGGAACUGCAUUUUUAACUACCGAGCUUCAGAGUGUGUCAGAGGGAGGUGGAAUUCCGCGUAUGCAUUGAAAUGCGUAGAUAUGCGGAGGAACACCGAUGGCGAAGGCAGCCUCCUGGGAUAACACUGACAAGUGCACGAAAAGCGUGGGUGAAGCAGGAUUAGAUACCCUGGUAGUCCACGCCCUAAACGAUGUCCAACUAGCUGUUGGGGCCUUCGGGCCUUGGUAGUACAGCUAACGCGUGAAGUUGACCGCCUGGGAAGUACGGUCGCAAGAUUAAAACUCCGAGAAUUGUGGGAUUGCAAGCGGUGGAUGAUGUGGAUUAAUUCGAUGCAACGCGAAAAACCUUUUUCUACCCUUGACAUGUCUGGAAUCCCGAAGAGAUUUGGGAGUGCUCGCAAGAGAACCGGAGUGCACAGGUGCUGCAUGGCUGUCGUCAGCUCGUGUCGUGAGAUGUUGGGUUAAGUCCGCAACGAGCGCAACCCUUGUCAUUAGUUGCACGAAAGGGCACUCUAAUGAGACUGCCGGUGACAAACGGAGGAUGGUGGGGAUGACGUGAGUCACCUCGCUGGCCCUUAUGGGUAGGGCUUCACACGUCAUACAAUGGUCGGGACAGAGGGUCGCCAACCCGCGGGGAGCCAAUCAGAAACCCGAUCUGGUCCGGAUGCAGUCUGCAACUUCGACUGCGUGAAGUCGGAAUCGCUAGUAAUCGCCGGAUCAUGUCGCGGUGAAUACGUUCGGGUCUUGUACACACCGCCCGUCACACCGCUCGGGGUGGGGUUUACCAGAAGUAGUUACGGCUAACCGUAAGGAGGGCGAUUACCACGGUAGGAUUCAUGACUGGGGUGAAGUCGUAACAAAGGUAA
Molecule: ribosomal RNA, 1475 nt
Filed under: uncultured Bordetella sp.
Lineage: Bacteria; Pseudomonadati; Pseudomonadota; Betaproteobacteria; Burkholderiales; Alcaligenaceae
Description: partial 16S-23S ribosomal RNA intergenic spacer
Rfam family: Bacterial small subunit ribosomal RNA
Source: RNAcentral